GCUAGUAAUCNCGGAUCAGAAUGCCGCGGUGAAUACGUUCCCGGGUCUUGUACACACCGCCCGUCACACCAUGGGAGUCGGGAAUGCCCGAAGUCAGUGGCCCAACCGGAAGGGGGAGCUGCCGAAGGCAGGCCCGGUGACUGGGUGAAGUCGUAACAAGGUACC
This 165-nucleotide ribosomal RNA is filed under the name uncultured bacterium. RNAcentral's name for it is "partial 16S ribosomal RNA". It matches the Rfam family "Bacterial small subunit ribosomal RNA", at positions 1334 to 1500 of the family's 1533-position model. The record is from RNAcentral.